CAAAACGCAGAUUCCUGCAGAAGGUGUUUCCCGCAGACACCAGGGUUUAACAUCACCGAGUCGGUCUGGGAAGGAAGUCCUGGAAACUUCAUUAACUUGGAAACACACCGAAGAGAAUUGGGGAUUUCUAUUAAAGGUGAACGAGGAGACUGUGGAGAGGCUGGUGGUCCAGUAUCCUCACAUUGUGUUCAGCACAGUGAUGCAGGACUGCAAGAGAACCCUGGAGAGAGCUUAUCAAAUGGGCUGGAGCCCCAACACAUCGAACUCUUCGUAGCUACUGCCAGCUCACACUCAUGCGUACUUCCACCGAGACACACACACACACACACACACACACACACACACACACACACACACACACACCACAUGUGCAGCUCGGUCAUCUUUGCUGGUCAUUCAGACGUGCAUGUGAACAUGUAGCUACAAAAGUCCAGGACAAUCUUUAUUAUUUGGGCAUUUUGCCAUCAUUUCCUGUCAAGUUCUCUUUCGUCAUCUUGGAGUAAAAAAAAAUGGAUGCAAGAGGAAAAGUUUCACUGAAAGAACAUGUUGCAUCAAAUAUAAUUAGCCAUAGUUAAACAGCAAUGAUGUUGAAAGGCGAUAGAGUAAAGGCUUGUCUUUGCCCGGGUAAGUCCACGCCGACCGCGUCAGCCCGUCAGGAUGCCGGGUCACCUGCUGCAGUCCGAUCGCACAGGAAGGAGCAGAGUCAUGAAGAGAUUAUCUGCAUCGUCUUCGGUCCACAAAUGAACUUGAACUUUCAGGGCUUCAGACCUCACUUGAGGCAUUUUUUUUAGAUUUCUGUUUUUAUGGAUCACUUUGUCCUAUCUUCUCUUGGACUUCAGUGCAGUGUUAAAGGUGUUUGUGAACUUGGUGAGGAUGUUGAUGGCGUUUCAUGUGAAGGACACAAAUGUUUUGUCUCGACUCACUAGGCAGAGAGACGGCUGGUUUUAGGCUGGAGGGGAAAUGGUUUGAGUCGAUUUUAAAGGCGGAUGUUUACAGUGAGAAUCAGCUUUCGAGUGUUUAAAGAUUCGCGUGACCCGACUCCAUGCUGGUGUUUCACCGACGGAGCAUCACUUGGAGUGACUUUUGGUAUGAAUUUAGUCUGUGCUUGAAAUAGAAGCGGUAUUUACCCCAAAUCUUUGGGUCAUAUUAUCAGAUCAUUAACCAGAAACGAGCUGAGAGUGGUUUAGACGAAGCAUUAAGUGGCUAGUAGUUCCUGUCUGAUUAGAAAGGAAAUCUAAUAAAGAAAUGUUUAUCAAAUGUGAGCUUUUAUGAAAGUAUUUAGCCUUCUUUUGGUUUUGAGCAUACACAAUUUACUAUUAGCUGUGUUGUUUUGCAACAAUCGUUGUAUCCUCCUUAGGCCGUAUCCUUAGUAACCACGUCGUUUUGAGAACACUUUCUGCACUCGCACACGAUCCUCCUCACUUUGCAUCCAUUUUAAUUCGUUAUUUUUAUUAAUUUCUUUAAAUAAACUGAUCUUUCUGCUGGUGUUAAAGGCCUGUUACAGUUUCUGUGCUUGCUCACAGAAGAACAAUGUGGGCCUUCUUUGCAGAAAUGAUCUGAAUGCACAAAAAUGCAGCAGCUAUAUUGGGUUCUACUGGUAAAGGAUGCAAAUUAAAGCUAAGCUUGAACAGAGUUUGUGGAUGAAGUAGAUCAUUUUUCUUCUGUUCUGCAGAAAUCCAGUGUAAAAACGCAAACAUCCAGGGUAUUUUUCUAUGGACUGAACCUCCACCCACUGAUCAGAACAACACUUACCUGAGCCAGACAUGGUGUAGAUGUGUAAACUUUGAUAUCUCACACAGAUUUCAUAUGAAUAAAACACUCAUUUGACCCUGUCAGGAUUUGUAGACUUAUUUUCCUGAAGGAGACGUUCUCCUUCUCCUUGCUUCUGAUCUUUUGUAAUCCCUGUAGACUCCUCCUUUUCUGCUAGAUGUUGACAGAUUUGAUUUCUAAUUUGCAAAAGGCAACCACGAACGACUGAAUUUACAUAAUGAUGAAUAAAAACACUACAACUUAAAGAAGUUUCUACUCCGUCAUUCAUUGGUUUGUUUUUCUCCCUUUCAGAGUUUUAAGAAGUUUAACGUUUGUUUCGUUCUAACUUGUAGAGCAUCAUAAGAAGAAUACAGAAAUAAAGGCGUUUUCCAUCAAUGACAUACAUUUGUUACGCUUUUCUGCCGAGCGCUGUGACGUGAGGUCAACCCGAACGUCCAUUAGAAGACACCCGGAGGGCAGGACUAUUUACGAUCGCAGGAGUUCCACAUCUGAGAGACAAAGAGAGGAGACGUCAGCCGGGCUGCAAAGGCCUCAAAGAGCUAACAAGCCGUCACUCAGCGUGUCCCCCUGUCUUCGGCAGCGCUGUCCCUUUCAAGUGCCUUUUUCACCGUUCAGUGUAUUUGGAUUGUUUUAUGUCUGGCGAUCAAACAUGGCUGAUGGCAUCAAACAGGUAACGAGGGGUCGGUUCCUCCCAGAUUGAUUCUUUAUGUUGUUGACACAGUUUUUGUCAAUUUGAGGCUGGGCUUGUUUGUGCUGAAGGGGAAUUUUAAAUCUUAAUCAAAACUCUUGAGUCCUGGUGAAAAGAAAAUCUUUAAGGCUUGUAAUUAAAACCUGCUGGAUGUGGCUGGACUGCAGAUGAGAAACCUGGGUUCAUUUAUUUUAUUUAUCAGAAAACAGAGAUGGAAAAGACUCGUUUUCUUUUUUUUAACAACUCAACUGUCGUGGAAGCUCUAAUUGAAUUUUAUGAUGAAUUUUGUUAUUGAUUAGAAUCCCUUGGCGAGCAUUUUAAAGGGACUUUUCGGACUUUUGAAUUUUUAUGCUCGCGAUUGCCCCCUCAGGCCAAAAGCGUCACGGCAGCUUCAAUAGUAGGCCGUGCACGAGGUGCGCAUGCUGUACGUGCACACUCCUUAACGAAAACAACAGCUGAGAUAGUCGUGUGUGUGUGUGUGUGUGUGUGUGUGUGUGGGUGUGUGUGUGUGUG
Long non-coding RNA from Nothobranchius furzeri (turquoise killifish), 2971 nucleotides. The record is from Ensembl. NCBI's taxonomy places the organism in Eukaryota, Metazoa, Chordata, Actinopteri, Cyprinodontiformes, Nothobranchiidae.